RNAcentral lists this ribosomal RNA (333 nucleotides) under uncultured bacterium. Its description in RNAcentral is "partial 16S ribosomal RNA". It matches the Rfam family "Bacterial small subunit ribosomal RNA", at positions 338 to 668 of the family's 1533-position model. The record is from RNAcentral.
CCUACGGGAGGCUGCAGUGAGGAAUAUUGGUCAAUGGACGCAAGUCUGAACCAGCCAUGCCGCGUGCAGGAAGACGGCUCUAUGAGUUGUAAACUGCUUUUGUACGAGGGUAAACGCAGAUACGCGUACCUGUCUGCAAGUACCGUACGAAUAAGGAUCGGCUAACUCCGUGCCAGCAGCCGCGGUAAUACGGAGGAUUCGAGCGUUAUCCGGAUUUAUUGGGUUUAAAGGGUGCGUAGGCGGUCGGUUAAGUUAGAGGUGAAAGCCCGAGGCUCAACUUCUGAAUUGCCUCUGAUACUGUUCGGCUAGAGUGUAGUUGCGGUAGGCGGAAUG